CUUGAACUUGAAGUGGCAGAAGAGAUGGAGCCAGUGAAGGAAUUCAGAGACGGAAGGAUAUGAUUUGGAGACCGUGUAGCAGAGGAAUCCCUAAAACAGGUCAUCCUUCAUGAAAAGUACCACCACCAUGUGCUGCCCCCAAGCCAAAGGCUGCAGUACAUUUAAAAUACCAUUGUGUAUACUUCGGACUUGAUCAUGCAAGAUACGGAGUGCCCUCGGCGCCACUGCAGUGAAAGGACAGUCCCUUGACAGAACUGGGCCCUUAAUUACCUCAGCCUGGGCUCAUUUUCAACUCUGGAGCAGCAACAUUAAAU
Mauremys reevesii (Reeves's turtle) is the source of this 314-nucleotide long non-coding RNA. RefSeq lists it as uncharacterized. The transcript is spliced from 3 exons. The record is from RefSeq and is a predicted model, not a curated record. NCBI's taxonomy places the organism in Eukaryota, Metazoa, Chordata, Testudines, Geoemydidae.